CUCCCUGGCUCCAAUGCAACGCAGGAGGGAAAAGGAGGGAAAAAGAAGACAAAGGUUCUGGGAGUCAGAGCUGGGGAAAUGAGGCAAUGAACGAGUCCUCUGAAGACCACUCUCAGCCACUAGGCUAGAAAGUCAGCUUCUGCCAAUGAGACCUACUUGGCAAAGGUCACCACUGUCCCUCUGGUGACACACUCUAGCUAACGCUGGGAGCUAAAGGUAGGUCGUAGCACAGGCCGAUAUGGAAGGCGGCUGGAGAAACACUCCCGUGCAUUCAAUGAAGUAGACCAUUUGAAAAGAAUUACCCAGAUUCUGUCACAAACACAGAGGAAAUGGGGUACCUGCAUGGCUUGGUGACUGAGCAUCUACCUUCGGCUCAGGGUGUGAUCCUGGGGUCCUGGGAUCGAGUCCCUGUUGGGCUCCCUGCAGGGAGCCUGCUUCUCCCUCUGCCUGUGUCUCUUGUGAAUAAAUUAAUAAAAUCUUUAAAAAAAUAAAAAACUGAGGAAAAAAGAAUCCUGGUGAAGGUAUCUCUUCGAUAUCACAGCUCUGCGAGGAGGUCUAUCCCCCACUUCGACCCCUUGGGACACAUGGAAAAAAUCCAGAGGUUGGCAGAGACUGUGGUACCCGAGAGGACAAGGGCAUUCGCCGUGGGCUGAGUGCACCAUGAAAGAAAGGAUAAAAGGCAGUGAGUUUCUUACUCAAAAUCAAAGAAAUCAACGCCAACAAUAUGAAAGUGGUAUAAAAAAAAAUGCAAAGAAAUCUUUGGGACCCCCGGACCAGGGCCCAGUUGAAGCAGUACAGCUCAAGGAAGGAUAAUAAGUACUCAAACGGAACAAGAGCUACAUUUCUCUAAGAGCAAACUUGGAGGGCGUUUAAACGGAAUUCCAACCCAGAUUGGUGGAAGCAGCACUCACGUAGUAAGCCUGGUGAAAAUGCGCUUCAUCGUUGUAAUUAAGCUACCGAACAGGCUGUCUCCUUAACAUGAGGUGCAUUUUUGCCUCUGGAGAGAAGUCAGCAGAAGACAGGAUUUCCUGGCUGUUAAAAGUGAAGGCAAAUAUGCGGGGGGGGGGGGGGGGGGGGGUAGAUUAGGCGCCUGCCUCCAGGGCAAACUGGCUACUGGUCAAACUCUCGGUCCCCUCUGCCCUUGUCCUGCCCGACCCUCCAGAACAGCAGCGCGUGUCCACUCCCAGUACUGUUCCCCACCGAUUAACAAUUCCUCCCGUUUGGCAUGUUCCUGUGAAACUCUCUUCGCAACACCUUGAAAUACAACUUCUGUGAGCUGUACAUGUAUCUUGCCUCAAUAUUUUCCUUGUUGCCAUCGGUUUGGUUCUGAGUGUCUCAUUAGUAAGACAGGCGAGACGGCAAAACACAGAAUGCUAAACAUUGCAUCCUUCUGUGCCUUUUUUUUUCCUGGAAGGAGAGGGAAGGAGUCUUCCCGAUUUCAGAAUUCUUGGUUUUCCCAGGUAUCUAUCACAGAAAUACCAGAACCAUUUCAAGUCAUUCUCCUCUGGUGGUAUCUCCUAAAAUUCAUUUCCAUGCUGCUCCUUCACGCAACAGAACUAAAAAGAUCUGCAUUUUGUUCAGAAGCCAGUGAUUCAGAAGCAGGGGUUAUUUAAAGAUCCUUUUCAAUUUCCUAUUUUGUUUUAACAUGUGAUUUGGCCAAGAAAAGAGAGGGCAUUCAAAGAACUUUCUUUGUAAUUUAAGAUUUCAUGAAAGGGAUGAUGGGUGAGAAGUUGAAACCAGAAGGAACAUGAUUUAUAAUAAUCGUCUCUCUUAAAAUACACACACAUACACAUAUGCAAAUAAGUAUGCAUAUGUUUAUAGUGAUGUGUGAUGAGGAAAAAAACCGACAAGGACCCCUUCUUUCACUGCAAAAUUGAUAAACUGUAACUAAAUCUUUGUUAGAGCCAAGCUUAAAAUAAGAACCAAAAAGUGCCCAGAUAUAAAGCGACAAGAAUUCAGUGUGUGAAAGAGAAGCCUUGUGGGCGGAGGUCGGGGGAGAAAACAGGGCUCCAACUCCAUGCAAGGGCAGGACCCAUAAAGGAUCCGGCUGCAAAAGGCUCAGAAGCGUCAAGUGCUCCCACCUCCCACCCCACUACAGAAGCCCAACUGCCCAGAACAAAGGCAAACUUCUGAUUUGGGACUGGGAGCAGCAGGUACUUGUGAGAAACCAAGAAGACCCACACACUAGCAUCUAACUAUUUUUCACCACCACAAGAUGAGAAACAGCAACACAGAUCUAAUCCACUAUAAUCACUGUAGAGUUGGCACAGGAAACCCCCAAAUUACUCUGUACAGUAGGGGCACAAACCACUCACAAAAUAAACAACCCUU
Molecule: long non-coding RNA, 2331 nt
Filed under: Canis lupus familiaris (dog)
Lineage: Eukaryota; Metazoa; Chordata; Mammalia; Carnivora; Canidae
Description: lncRNA (ENSCAFG00845010759.1)
Source: RNAcentral